GACGAACCGUACAAACGUUAUUCGGAAUCACUGGGCUUAAAGGGUGCGUAGGCGGUGCAGCAAGUUGGAUGUGAAAGCCCCCGGCUCAACCGGGGAAUUGCGUCCAAAACUGCUGUGCUAGAGGGAGAUAGGGGUGAGCGGAACUCACGGUGGAGCGGUGAAAUGCGUUGAUAUCGUGAGGAACACCGGUGGCGAAAGCGGCUCACUGGAUCUCUUCUGACGCUGAGGCACGAAAGCUAGGGUAGCGAACGGG
This 253-nucleotide unclassified non-coding RNA is filed under the name uncultured Pirellulaceae bacterium. Its description in RNAcentral is "contains 16S-23S intergenic spacer region". It matches the Rfam family "Bacterial small subunit ribosomal RNA", at positions 524 to 776 of the family's 1533-position model. Lineage: Bacteria; Pseudomonadati; Planctomycetota; Planctomycetia; Pirellulales; Pirellulaceae. The record is from RNAcentral.